GACGAACGCUGGCGGCGUGCUUAACACAUGCAAGUCGAACGGAAAGGCCUCUUUCGGGGGGUACUCGAGUUGCCAACGGGUGAGUAACACAUGAGUAACCUGCCCUUGACUUUGAGAUGACUACAGGAAACUGGGGCUAAUACCGGCUAGGAGCUCCUUCUGCAUGGUGGGUGUUGGAAAGUUUCGGCGGUUGGGGAUGGACUCGCGGCUUAUCAGCUUGGUGGUGGGGUAGUGGCUUACUAAGGCUUUGACGGGUAGCCGGCCUGUGAGCGUGACCGGCCACAUUGGGACUGAGAUACGGAGCAGUCUCGUAUGGGACGCAGCAGUGGGGAACAUUGCGCAGUGGGGCGAAGCCUGAUGCAGCAACGCCGUGUGCGGGAUGACGGCCUUCGAGUUGUAAACAGCUUUCGCUGAUGACGAAGCUUUGUGUGACGGUAGUGGGUAAAGAAGCACCGGUAAACUCCGU
RNAcentral lists this ribosomal RNA (466 nucleotides) under uncultured bacterium. RNAcentral's name for it is "partial 16S ribosomal RNA". It matches the Rfam family "Bacterial small subunit ribosomal RNA", at positions 28 to 506 of the family's 1533-position model. The record is from RNAcentral.